Molecule: ribosomal RNA, 292 nt
Filed under: uncultured bacterium
Lineage: Bacteria
Description: partial 16S ribosomal RNA
Source: RNAcentral
GGACUACUAGGGUUUCUAAUCCCGUUCGCUCCCCUGGCUUUCGCACCUCAGCGUCAGUUACCUCCCAGGACACUGCCUUCGCCUUUGGUAUUCCUCCGGAUCUCUACGCAUUUCACCACUCCACCCGGAAUUCUAUGUCCCUCUGAGGUCCUCCAGUCCCACCGUCUUCCCGGCACUCCCCCCGUUAAGCAGGGAGCUGGCACCGGAAACGCGCAGAACCGCCUACGUGCCCUUUACGCCCAGUAACUCCGGACAACGCUCGCCCCCUACGUAUUACCGCGGCGGCUGGCAC